Long non-coding RNA from Fukomys damarensis (Damara mole-rat), 332 nucleotides. RefSeq lists it as uncharacterized. NCBI's taxonomy places the organism in Eukaryota, Metazoa, Chordata, Mammalia, Rodentia, Bathyergidae. The transcript is spliced from 3 exons. The record is from RefSeq and is a predicted model, not a curated record.
CACUCCAACAGCAGCUGGAUUAAUUGAGCACAAUAUUCCUCUGCCAUCCCUGCUGGGUCCCCCUGCCAAGUGCCAGGAUUCAUAGAACCAAAGAUGAAGCCUUUGCCGUCAGUACCUCCAUCCCCAAGGAAGCAUCAAUAAAGUGGGCAUCAGAUCUCAACUUCAAACGCAGAAAUACACACGAAAAGAAAAGGAAGAUUUGAUCAUUACUUCAUGAAUCUGUCACUUUGCUAUUCUGACAUCACCAGAAGGAGAGAUGCUCACUCAGAUUCAAAUUUCAGUAGCAGGAAAUAAAAUGUAUUCCUUUCAGGGAUUCCCUGCCCUUUACCUGA